AGAGUUUGAUCCUGGCUCAGAAUCAACGCUGGCGGCGUGCCUAACACAUGCAAGUCGAGCGAGAAAGGGGCUUCGGCUCCGAGUACAGCGGCGCACGGGUGAGUAACACGUGGGUAAUCUGCCCUAGAGUGGGGAAUAACACCGGGAAACCGGUGCUAAUACCGCAUACGAUCGUGAUGUCUUCGGAUGUUGCGAUGAAA
RNAcentral lists this ribosomal RNA (200 nucleotides) under uncultured bacterium. RNAcentral describes it as "partial 16S ribosomal RNA". It matches the Rfam family "Bacterial small subunit ribosomal RNA", at positions 8 to 205 of the family's 1533-position model. The record is from RNAcentral.